GAUCAUUACCGAGUCGUCGACAUGAGCUGUUGCUGGUCCUCAAACAUGGGGGCAUGUGCACGCUCUGUUUGCACAUCCAUUCACACCUGUGCACCUAUGUAGUUCUGUGGUCUGGGGGACACCAACCUCCAUCCCCCAUAGUUCUAUGUCUUUACAAAUACACCGUAGCAAAGUCUUGUGGAAUGUGCUCAGCGUUUAACGCAAUACAAUACAACUUUCAGCAACGGAUCUCUUGGCUCUCGCAUCGAUGAAGAACGCAGCGAAAUGCGAUAAGUAAUGUGAAUUGCAGAAUUCAGUGAAUCAUCGAAUCUUUGAACGCACCUUGCGCCCCUUGGCUAUUCCGAGGGGCAUGCCUGUUUGAGUAUCAUGAACACCUCAACUCUCAUGGUUCGCCGUGAUGAGCUUGGACUUUUUGGGGGUUUUGCUGGCCUACGGUCGGCUCCUCUGAAACUGAUCAGCUUGCCAGUGUUUGGUGAAGUCAUGGGUGUGAUAACCGUCUACGCUCGUGAUUGCUCGCCAAGUGACCUUUGGAGGUUCGCUGGAGCUUAUAAACGUCUCUCCUUGGCGGAGACAGCUUUUUGACCGUUCGAUCUCAAAUCAGGUAGG
Molecule: ribosomal RNA, 606 nt
Filed under: uncultured Thelephoraceae
Lineage: Eukaryota; Fungi; Basidiomycota; Agaricomycetes; Thelephorales; Thelephoraceae
Description: eukaryotic LSU rRNA
Rfam family: 5.8S ribosomal RNA (bases 213-367)
Source: RNAcentral